Long non-coding RNA from Mustela erminea (ermine), 681 nucleotides. RefSeq lists it as uncharacterized. Lineage: Eukaryota; Metazoa; Chordata; Mammalia; Carnivora; Mustelidae. The transcript has 3 exons. The record is from RefSeq and is a predicted model, not a curated record.
CAGGCACCGCGGCGCCCCCGCCGCCGAGGACGCGCGUGCGUCGUCACGUGCCCCGCCAGGAGUACCGCGGGCGGGGAAAUCAGCCAGUGGGGCGUCCGGGAUUUCCAUGACAACGGAGGGCGGGGGGCGGGGGGCGGGGGACUUGGGAGCGGAGGAAGGGCGGAGAAUGAGGCUUAGGUGGGAAGAUAGCAGCGGUUGCUACAAUGGAAAAAAAAAAAAAAAAAAAAAAGAACACCUUUCCUUUGCGCAAGCUUAAAGCAGCCAGAUCCUCCUCCAGGUGUUUGGUACUUUACUUCAAAGGCUAGUCUGCAGCACCUGAACUCCAAGAACAUCGAUCCAGCUCUCUCUUUACAAGUCAGGAAACAAUAGGCCAGGUGACGCUCAAUGACUUGCUCGAGACAGCUAGCAAAGGCAAAUACCGACGUGCAGCCCAGCUCAAAUUCCCAGCCACCACACCUGUGAACUCCCUUGGACAAGGAUUUAGAAUUCAGCAGCAGCAUAAAGACACAGGAAUAAAGCCACGACAAAGAUAACUGGCGUUCCCACAGCCUUCAAGCUAACUGGGACAGAUAUUGGCCAGUAUCAACAUAAAUCAGCUUGAGUUCAGAGAAUUCAAGAUUCAGGAAUAAACAUACAGAUUUUUUUUCUACUUUCUCAUCCUUAUUACAAUGUAAACACCCU